This 323-nucleotide ribosomal RNA is filed under the name uncultured bacterium. RNAcentral describes it as "bacterial SSU rRNA". It matches the Rfam family "Bacterial small subunit ribosomal RNA", at positions 28 to 345 of the family's 1533-position model. The record is from RNAcentral.
GACGAACGCUGGCGGCGUGCUUAACACAUGCAAGUCGAACGGUAAGGCCCUUCGGGGUACACGAGUGGCGAACGGGUGAGUAACACGUGGGUAACCUGCCCAUAAGAGGGGGAUAACAUCCGGAAACGGGUGCUAAUACCGCAUAGGUUUCUUGGUCGCAUGAUCGAGAAAGGAAAGACGGCCUUUGUGCUGUCGCUUAUGGAUGGACCCGNGGCGUAUUAGUUAGUUGGUGAGGUAAUGGCUCACCAAGACGAUGAUACGUAGCCGACCUGAGAGGGUGAUCGGCCACAUUGGGACUGAGACACGGCCCAAACUCCUACGGG